GACGAACGCUGGCGGCGUGCCUAAUACAUGCAAGUAGAACGCUGAAGAGAGGAGCUUGCUCUACUUGGAUGAGUUGCGAACGGGUGAGUAACGCGUAGGUAACCUGCCUUGUAGCGGGGGAUAACUAUUGGAAACGAUAGCUAAUACCGCAUAACAAUGGAUGACACAUGUCAUUUAUUUGAAAGGGGCAAUUGCUCCACUACAAGAUGGACCUGCGUUGUAUUAGCUAGUAGGUGAGGUAAUGGCUCACCUAGGCGACGAUACAUAGCCGACCUGAGAGGGUGAUCGGGCACACUGGGACUGGGACACGGCCCAGACUCCGGGGGGAGGCAGCAGUAGGGAAUCGUCGGCGAGUGGGGCGACCCAGACAGAGCAAAGCCGCGUGAGUGAAGAAGGGUGUCGGAUGGUAAAGCUCUGUUGUAAGACGAGAGCGGGUGGGAGAGUGGAAAGUGCACACUGUGACGGUAGCUUACCAGAAGAGGACGGCUAACUACGUG
RNAcentral lists this ribosomal RNA (497 nucleotides) under uncultured bacterium. Its description in RNAcentral is "partial 16S ribosomal RNA". It matches the Rfam family "Bacterial small subunit ribosomal RNA", at positions 28 to 507 of the family's 1533-position model. The record is from RNAcentral.